GGUUAAGCGACUAAGCGUACACGGUGGAUGCCUAGGCAGUCAGAGGCGAUGAAGGGCGUGCUAAUCUGCGAUAAGCGUCGGUAAGCUGAUAUGAAGCGUUAUACCCGACGAUACCCGAAUGGGGAAACCCAGUGUGUUUCGACACACUAUCAUUAUGUGAAUACAUAGCGUAAUGAGGCGAACCGGGGGAACUGAAACAUCUCAGUACCCCGAGGAAAAGAAAUCAACCGAGAUUCCCCUAGUAGCGGCGAGCGAACGGGGAGGAGCCCAGAACCUGAAUCAGUUUGUGUGUUAGUGGAAGCGUCUGGAAAGUCGCACAGUAAAGGGUGAUAGUCCCGUACACAAAAAUGCACAAAUUGUGAGUUCGAUGAGUAGGGCGGGACACGUGACAUCCUGUCUGAAUAUGGGGGAAUUCAUCCUCCAAGGCUAAAUACUCCUGACUGACCGAUAGUGAACCAGUACCGUGAGGGAAAGGCGAAAAGAACCCCGGCGAGGGGAGUGAAAUAGAACCUGAAACCGUGUACGUACAAGCAGUGGGAGCCUACUUGUUAGGUGACUGCGUACCUUUUGUAUAAUGGGUCAGCGACUUAUAUUCUGUAGCAAGGUUAACCGUAUAGGGGAGCCGCAGGGAAACCGAGUCUUAACUGGGCGUUAAGUUGCAGGGUAUAGACCCGAAACCCGGUGAUCUAGCCAUGGGCAGGUUGAAGGUUGGGUAACACUAACUGGAGGACCGAACCGACUAAUGUUGAAAAAUUAGCGGAUGACUUGUGGCUGGGGGUGAAAGGCCAAUCAAACCGGGAGAUAGCUGGUUCUCCCCGAAAGCUAUUUAGGUAGCGCCUCGUGAAUUCAUCUUCGGGGGUAGAGCACUGUUUCGGCUAGGGGGUCAUCCCGACUUACCAACCCGAUGCAAACUACGAAUACCGAAGAAUGUUAUCACGGGAGACACACGGCGGGUGCUAACGUUCGUCGUGAAGAGGGAAACAACCCAGACCGCCAGCUAAGGUCCCAAAGUCAUGGUUAAGUGGGAAACGAUGUGGGAAGGCACAGACAGCCAGGAUGUUGGCUUAGAAGCAGCCAUCAUUUAAAGAAAGCGUAAUAGCUCACUGGUCGAGUCGGCCUGCGCGGAAGAUGUAACGGGGCUAAACCAUGCACCGAAGCUGCGGCAGCGACGCUUAGGCGUUGUUGGGUAGGGGAGCGUUCUGUAAGCCGUCGAAGGUGGCCUGUGAGGGCUGCUGGAGGUAUCAGAAGUGCGAAUGCUGACAUAAGUAACGAUAAUGCGGGUGAAAAACCCGCACGCCGGAAGACCAAGGGUUCCUGUCCAACGUUAAUCGGGGCAGGGUGAGUCGACCCCUAAGGCGAGGCUGAAAAGCGUAGUCGAUGGGAAACAGGUUAAUAUUCCUGUACUCGGUGUUACUGCGAAGGGGGGACGGAGAAAGCUAGGUUAUCCGGGCGACGGUUGUCCCGGUUUAAGCGUGAAGGUGGAUGACUUUGGUAAAUCCGGGUCAUUAUUAACACUGAGGCGUGAUGACGAGUCACUACGGUGAUGAAGUAACCGAUGCUACGCUUCCAGGAAAAGCCUCUAAGCUCCAGGUAACAUCAAAUCGUACCCCAAACCGACACAGGUGGUCAGGUAGAGAAUACUCAGGCGCUUGAGAGAACUCGGGUGAAGGAACUAGGCAAAAUGGUGCCGUAACUUCGGGAGAAGGCACGCUGAUGGUAGGUGAAGUGACUUGCUCAUGGAGCUGAAAUCAGUCGAAGAUACCAGCUGGCUGCAACUGUUUAAUAAAAACACAGCACUGUGCAAACACGAAAGUGGACGUAUACGGUGUGACGCCUGCCCGGUGCCGGAAGGUUAAUUGAUGGGGUCAGCCGCAAGGCGAAGCUCUUGAUCGAAGCCCCGGUAAACGGCGGCCGUAACUAUAACGGUCCUAAGGUAGCGAAAUUCCUUGUCGGGUAAGUUCCGACCUGCACGAAUGGCGUAAUGAUGGCCAGGCUGUCUCCACCCGAGACUCAGUGAAAUUGAACUCGCUGUGAAGAUGCAGUGUACCCGCGGCAAGACGGAAAGACCCCGUGAACCUUUACUAUAGCUUGACACUGAACCUUGAGCCUUGAUGUGUAGGAUAGGUGGGAGGCUUUGAAGCGUGGACGCCAGUCUGCGUGGAGCCAACCUUGAAAUACCACCCUUUAAUGUUUGAUGUUCUAACGUGGGCCGUAAUCCGGGUUGCGGACAGUGUCUGGUGGGUAGUUUGACUGGGGCGGUCUCCUCCCAAAGCGUAACGGAGGAGCACGAAGGUUAGCUAAUCCUGGUCGGACAUCAGGAGGUUAGUGCAAAGGCAUAAGCUAGCUUGACUGCGAGAGUGACAGCUCGAGCAGGUGCGAAAGCAGGUCUUAGUGAUCCGGUGGUUCUGAAUGGAAGGGCCAUCGCUCAACGGAUAAAAGGUACUCCGGGGAUAACAGGCUGAUACCGCCCAAGAGUUCAUAUCGACGGCGGUGUUUGGCACCUCGAUGUCGGCUCAUCACAUCCUGGGGCUGAAGUAGGUCCCAAGGGUAUGGCUGUUCGCCAUUUAAAGUGGUACGCGAGCUGGGUUUAGAACGUCGUGAGACAGUUCGGUCCCUAUCUGCCGUGGGCGUUGGAAGAUUGAGAGGGGUUGCUCCUAGUACGAGAGGACCGGAGUGAACGCACCACUGGUGUACGGGUUGUGAUGCCAAUUGCAUUGCCCGGUAGCUAAGUGCGGAAGAGAUAACCGCUGAAAGCAUCUAAGCGGGAAACUUGCCUCGAGAUGAGUCUUCCCUGGGCACUAGAUGCCCCUGAAGGGCCGUUGAAGACGACGACGUAGAUAGGCUGGGUGUGUAAGCGUAGCGAUACGUUGAGCUAACCAGUACUAAUGACCCGAGAGGCUUAACCUU
RNAcentral lists this ribosomal RNA (2907 nucleotides) under Pectobacterium carotovorum. RNAcentral describes it as "23S ribosomal RNA". It matches the Rfam family "Bacterial large subunit ribosomal RNA". Lineage: Bacteria; Pseudomonadati; Pseudomonadota; Gammaproteobacteria; Enterobacterales; Pectobacteriaceae. The record is from RNAcentral.